RNAcentral lists this ribosomal RNA (600 nucleotides) under uncultured bacterium. RNAcentral describes it as "bacterial SSU rRNA". The stretch from base 1 to 475 matches the Rfam family "Bacterial small subunit ribosomal RNA", at positions 100 to 546 of the family's 1533-position model. The record is from RNAcentral.
GGACGGGUGCGUAACACGUGGAUAAUCUGCCUUCUGGCGGGGAAUAACAGUCCGAAAGGAUUGCUAUGCCGCAUGUGUCUGUGUGGUUUCCGAACUGCGCAGAGAAAGAGGGCGCCCGCAAGGGGCUCUCACCAGAAGAUGAGUCCGCGUCCCAUCAGCUAGUUGGCGGGGUANAUGGCCCACCAAGGCAGAGACGGGUAGCUGGUCUGAGAGGGUGAUCCCCCAAACUGGUACUGAGACACGGACCAGACUCCUACGGGAGGCAGCAGUGAGGAAUAUUGGACAAUGGGUGAGAGCCUGAUCCAGCCAUCCCGGCGUGAAGGACGACUGCCCUAUGGGUUGUAACACUUCUUUUGUAUCAGGGAUAAACCUACCCUCGUGGAGGGUAGCUGACAGGUACUAUACGAACUAAGGCACACGGACUAAAUCCGAUGNCAGCAGAACGAGGUAAUACGGAGGGUGCAAGGCGUUAUACCGGAAUAUAAAUAGGAGUAUUAAAGGGGUACGGUAAGNCGGAUCUGUAAGUCAGAUGGAUGGAAAAUUCUACAACAGGAGUUCAAGANCUGGUGAAANACAAGCUUGGCCCAAUCUCGGGUAACU